AAGAUAUCCCAUAAAUCCCUCAAUUUUCUCCCACUUACCCAAUACUCAUAACUCCCUCAGAAAUUUGGAUCCACUAAAACUCUAUCAGACAACAGAGCAAAAAUUAAUACCCUCGCUAUCGCAAGGAUUUGAACAUAAGACCUCCAACACAUUCACUCCCUUACCACUCGAACCAAUAGACUCAUUCUAAUAUGGAUUAACAGAUAAUUUUAUAUAAGCCCACUC
This 225-nucleotide long non-coding RNA is filed under the name Gossypium barbadense (sea-island cotton). RNAcentral describes it as "long non-coding RNA (GBAR_LNC019514)". Lineage: Eukaryota; Viridiplantae; Streptophyta; Magnoliopsida; Malvales; Malvaceae. The record is from RNAcentral.